Molecule: long non-coding RNA, 913 nt
Organism: Heterocephalus glaber (naked mole-rat)
Lineage: Eukaryota; Metazoa; Chordata; Mammalia; Rodentia; Bathyergidae
Source: Ensembl
CUGUGUCCCUGGACUUGGACUUCUCAGUACCCGCCCUCCUCCCUAGAAAAAGUAGGAUGAUUGGAGAGGGCUGGGAUUGGGCAUUUCCUCUUCCCCGGUCAGUUAGACUCUGAGAAAACCCCAGCAGGCUGAACUCUAGGAAUAAAGUUUCCCCUGAGAGCAAGCCUUGCUCAGAAGAACACAGUGACUGGUGUAUUUUGAAAUGGUUUCUUCCCUUCCUCUUACUGAAAGCAUGAGGGGAUUUUCUCUGACGUUCACUAGAGAACCAGGUUACAGUCUUGGAGGUGAAGCUCAGCACAGCGUGGGGCUCCCGGAGAUUGGGUCACCCUGAAGUCUUGCUCUUGAUUAGAUUUGUCCACACUUCUGGCAGUUCGUUAAUUACCCUUCCGGUUUCCUCCCCUGGCACUGGCUCCUGCUGAGGGCUUUGGCCCCGAAUUUCUGCUCUGGGGCUGCUGGGAAUGAAGACUUCUCCUUCCGGGAGCCUGCUGUCUGCGGACCUCACAGAACUCAGCUGAGUCCUACCUGCUUCCUUUUCUUGGCACUGAAGAUGAAAGACACUGAAGAUGGAAGAUUGAGCAAGACAGGAGGACCCAGCUCUCUAUACCAUGGAGGAAAACAGGGUGGUUUCCUAGAUGACCAACAUGUGGCCAACUGAUGGGGGAGACCCAUCCUGGAUGGAAGCCCAGACAGAACAAAAGCAGCUGAAGAACGAAAUCUGCUAACACAGGCUCUGUCUCUCUCCCCCCUCUCUCUGUCUCUGUCUCUCUGUCUCUGCCUCCCUCUCUCUGCUAUUCACCACGAGGUGAGCAGCUUUCCUCUGCCACACCCUUCCACCAUGAUAUUUCUGUCUCACUACAGAACUAAAAGCAAUGGAACCAUCUGACCAUGGACUGAAACCUUCGAAACCAUGAGC